Molecule: ribosomal RNA, 688 nt
Filed under: uncultured archaeon
Lineage: Archaea
Description: bacterial SSU rRNA
Rfam family: Archaeal small subunit ribosomal RNA
Source: RNAcentral
AGGCGCGAAAACUUUACAAUGCGGGAAACCGUGAUAAGGGGAUCUCGAGUGCCAGCAUAUUAUGUUGGCUGUCCAAAUGCCUAAAAAGCAUUUGAUAGCAAGGGCCGGGCAAGACCGGUGCCAGCCGCCGCGGUAACACCGGCGGCCCGAGUGGUAACCGUUAUUAUUGGGUCUAAAGGGUCCGUAGCCGGCCAAGUAAGUCCCUUGGGAAAUCUGGCAGCUUAACUGUCAGGCUGCCAGGGGAUACUGCUUGGCUUGGGACCGGGAGAGGUGAGAGGUACCUCAGGGGUAGGGGUGAAAUCUUGUAAUCCUUGAGGGACCACCAGUGGCGAAGGCGUCUCACCAGAACGGGUCCGACGGCAAGGGACGAAAGCUAGGGGCACGAACCGGAUUAGAUACCCGGGUAGUCCUAGCCGUAAACGAUACUCGCUAGGUGUCAGCCACGGUGCGACCGUGGUUGGUGCCGUAGGGAAGCCGUGAAGCGAGCCACCUGGGAAGUACGGCCGCAAGGCUGAAACUUAAAGGAAUUGGCGGGGGAGCACUACAACGGGUGGAGCCUGCGGUUUAAUUGGAUUCAACGCCGGAAAGCUCACCGGGGGCGACAGCAAUAUGAAGGUCAGGCUGAAGACCUUACCGGAUUCGCUGAGAGGUGGUGCAUGGCCGUCGUCAGUUCGUACUGUGAAGCAUA